This 624-nucleotide ribosomal RNA is filed under the name Triticum aestivum (bread wheat). RNAcentral describes it as "partial small subunit ribosomal RNA". The record is from RNAcentral. Lineage: Eukaryota; Viridiplantae; Streptophyta; Magnoliopsida; Poales; Poaceae.
AUGACUAUCCAGAACAUAGAGGAUGAACUUUCUGUGCAGGUUUAUGAGUAUCAUGCAAGACUUGCGUUGUGCAAUCAAGAUAUGGCUGAACUUAACUUGUGCCUCACGAAGCUGCACUGCCUCUACGGGAAUAAGCGGAAUGGUGGCCAUCAGGGUGAAUUUGCAGCUUAUGAUAUAUUACUGUCUGCGAUUCAAGAUAAAAAUACUGAACUGAUGUCGAAACUAGGAAGGCUGUCAAGCGACUUGAAACAGCAAGAAGCCGUGAAGCAUGCCAAAGAAGUGGCACACAGUAUACAGACAAGAAAUUAUGCAUCAUUUUUCAAACUCUACAAGGUGGCUCCAAACCUCAAUGGCUACCUGAUGGGUAUCUGCUUUGAGAAGAUGAGAUUUGAAGGUUUAAAAUGCAUGGCAAAGGCCUACGCAACCAAGAUACCUGUCAAAUACAUAUCCAAAAUCUUAGGUUUUGCUGCAAUUGACGAAAGUGCCAAUUGGCUUAAAAGUCAUGGUGCUGUUUUAUCAUCCUUCGAGAAUGGGGAGAUGGCUUUACUGCCAAAGGACUCUACAGCUCUCAUCUCUACACCAGUUGUUCCUGCUGAUGGUAUUCGUGCUUUCCAAGCCCGCUGA